Molecule: long non-coding RNA, 3085 nt
Organism: Pezoporus flaviventris
Lineage: Eukaryota; Metazoa; Chordata; Aves; Psittaciformes; Psittacidae
Exons: 4
Source: RefSeq, a predicted model, not a curated record
GGCAAUUGUAAAUAUCCCAGCAACCAUAGAGGAAAUAGAAAGUAAAACUAUUGAUAUAAUCCAAGCGGAACAAAAAGAGAUAACCAGCCUGUCUAAAGUGGUAUUACAAAACUGAAUGGCUCUAGACAUGUUACUGGUUUCACAAGGAGGGGUUUGUUCCAUAAUCAAUGAAAGUUGCUGUUUCUACAUAGAUCAAAAUGGCAGAAUUGAAACAGAUCUGGAGGAAAUUUGGAAACAAACUGAAGUAUUUCAUGAAAUGGGCAAGGAGAAUUAUCCUCCUGGGAUGAUCAUCCUCUGUCAAUCCCCAUGUCUCCUGGGGUUUUGAAGAAAUAUGGAAAAAGUUAACUUCAUGGUUAGCUAAUCUGUCCUGGUUGAGGCAACUAGUUGCAGGAAUAUUGUUUUAAUAUUGAUUACUUGUGGUAUGAUACAAUGUUCCUUCUGGUAUUGUAAACGAUCUAUGAUAAAUUAUGAAGAUUGGAAGAGAAAUGAAAUCACACAUCAAGUAGAAACAGGAAAUUAUUUCAAAAAGUCUCUAGAUGAUAAUGGUAGUAAAGGAUUUGCAAAAGGAUUUGCGAAAGGACAGAAAAAUGGGGGAUUUGAGACAAAAAGGCACAAAAUCACAAAAUGAAAUAUAAAUCUUUGUAAAUAAGUAGAAUCAGUUCUAAGUAACAUUAAGUUUGAUGGCUUUGUAACAGUAGCAAUUCAAAAUAACUGAGGUGCAUGACUCAAAGACACAACUUCAAGCACUGCACAUCCUGACCCGCCCCUGCCAUAACACCUGCAGCAAGGAAAUGGGCUGGUCCUACCAUGGUGCUUGGCUCUGAGAUGCAACCCAGAGGAGACAAACAUGCAGGGACCACACCAGCAGCACCAUCCCUGCUACACCACACACGCAUGCACCAUGAGUGUGACACCUCCUGAGCCAUCAGCCAGGGCUGUGCCUAUGGGGAGGACAGGGAGGCAUGGGAGGUACUGUCAUUACACUUACACUUGUGCCAUCUUUACAACUGGUAUAUAAGUGGUUGGUUUUAUUUCUCCCAAAGGUACAAGACAGUGUCCUCUUCAAACGCAAAGUGCAGGCUCUGCAGCCCAAGGAGUUCCCAUGGAGAAGUUGUCACCAUGGGCCUCCCAGGUUCUGCUUGGUCCCCUUCCAGACCACCAAGGAGAUGUGAAGCUCUGUUAGGAACCUUCCAGCCUUGUGCACUGAACCACCAUUUGCCAGGGCUCACACUGAGCUUCCUAGGAUACUGAGCUGCUGCUGCUGAUUCCACUCCUGAUUCCUCCCUGUGCUGCUGUCAGUGCAGAAUUGAUGUCCAGUUUGGGACACAGGGCACAGCCAAGUCUGUUACCAUCCUCUGUGCCUUUAGCAGACAGAGGGACCAGGCUGGACCCCCAGCUCCAAGGGGACUCUGUGUGAGCUAGGGACAGGGUUUGGACUGUCCCUAGUAGCUCUGGUGGGAAGAGCUAGCUCCUUCUUCCUCUCUGGCUGGGAACUGGGUCACUGCUAAAAGCUGGGGAUGGCACCCUGUGGAUCCACAGCCAGGGCCAUUAGCCCAGCAGCAGAGUACUAGCAGGGUCUGAGCACCACCGUGGGGCUUGGUGCUGUUAGGGUGCUGCUGCUGUCACCACAAGGGGGAUGUAGGUGCUGGCUAGGAGAGGUCCUGGGAGCGAUGGGCCAGCUGGAUGACUGUGCUAAGAGAAGGAUCGUGGAGCUGCACAGGGCCGGGCUGAGUUUCCACAAGAUCAAGUAGGUGCUGGAGCUGGAUGACAUCCACGUGAUGCCGCAGGCAGUGUACCUCUUCCUCAAGUAGAAGAGCGUGGAGCCGGGGCUGGUGGCAGCUGCCUGGGACACGGACCAGCCGUAGCCUCCACUGCAAAGACAAGAGCCUAAGCUGCCCAAGCUGGCAGGUCCCUGUUCCCCUGCAGUGCCUGGCGGGGACCCACUGGUCAGCCAGGGCCCCGCAGCUGGCCCCGACACCAAGGAGGGCAACCAGCGUGUCAGCCCAACCUCACUGUGCUGGGGCAGUGGGCAGAGCAGCGAGGCCUUCCCCAUGGGGCUGCCCCCCAGGAAUGGCGAUGGCAGCUCCACAGGUGCCCUCUUGGCUCCAGGGAUCAUGGUCAGCACCCACCAGCCCCUCCCCAGCCAAGAGUGGCCGAGUGCACCCCUGGCCAGGAACCCAGCCCUCAUGGUGAAGAAGCAGCUCGUGGACAGGACGAUCAUCCUGCAGUAAAAGGUCAAAGAUGACAGCACUCAGAUGGUCCUGCUGAACCCUACGAGCCCUGGAAAUCCAAGCCUUGCUUGGGGCAGUUCAGUACUUCCUGUUGCUCCCAGUUCCCAUGCCAUUGCUGAAAAGCUGGAUGCUGUACAGACAGAGAUCCCAAAGCUGAGCCAGGCCCUGCACAUGCUGCUGCAGAGGCAGAGCCAGCUGGAGUGGCAGCAAGAGCACCAGCAGUGGCUGCAGCAGGAGGUGCUGGUGAGGCUGCAGCAGCUCAGCUCCACAGUGAGCCACAUCACAGUGCCGGCCAACCAGCCCUGCAUCCCCUUCAGCAACACAACCGAGCCCUCGCUCACCAUGCCAAGCUUCAGCCAGUUCAAGAUGGAGCUCAUCUGACCUACUGUGAUGCGAGCAACACUCUAGCAGUGCUAUGCUGAUGGUAGGAUGAAGCUGUGGAGAAGAACCACCUCCCACAGGCUGUGGCUUAAGGACUAUGGGGCAUCAAGCAGAGAAGGUCACUGGUGGCUCUUGUCCUCAGGCCUGUUGGUUGAAAGGGGCUGCCUGGCACAAGAGGCAUGGUAGUGGAAAGCUGAGGCCCCACUUUGUGCUGCCUAUCCUGGCUGAGGCUGGCUGGUGGCCCAUGGACUACGUGGGACUUUAUGGACUUCAGCAGCACAGACAGGAGGCCCACAAGGAGAUGAUGCAACUAAGAGAGAAACAGCAGGGUCUCAAAGAAGAUGCAAGGCUUCCUGUCAUGAGGGUCAGUACCAGGAUGAUCAAUCAAGGACGCUUUGUGCUCUCCCGCUGUGGGGCCUUGUUCAGUAAAAAUGUACAUAUACCACAGUUCAGAAACAGUGUGGGAUCUCUCU